UACGUAGGGGGCAAGCGUUGUCCGGAUUCAUUGGGCGUAAAGAGCGUGUAGGCGGCCAGGUAGGUCGGUUGUGAAAACUGGAGGCUCAACCUUCAGAGGUCGACCGAAACCAUCUGGCUAGAGUCCGGGAGAGGAGAGUGGAAUUCCUGGUGUAGCGGUGAAAUGCGCAGAUAUCAGGAAGAACACCCGUGGCGAAAGCGGCUCUCUGGAACGGUACUGACGCUGAGACGUGAAAGCGUGGGGAGCGAACAGG
RNAcentral lists this ribosomal RNA (253 nucleotides) under uncultured bacterium. RNAcentral describes it as "partial 16S ribosomal RNA". It matches the Rfam family "Bacterial small subunit ribosomal RNA", at positions 524 to 776 of the family's 1533-position model. The record is from RNAcentral.